AAGACUAUACUUUGAGAUAUCAUUUCUAUAGUUUGUUACUAGCGAAGUUUCUCUAUUUUGUAGAGCAAUCGAAACCACGAGGAGGAGCCAGAGCAUCUUCCCUUGUGCAUGAAGCUAGUUCUAGGUGUUGCUUUUGCAACUGCUCUUUACCAUUGAUGACCACAUUUCUCUUCUUUUGGAAGACUGAGAGGGAGAAGAAGCAAUCUGAGUGG
RNAcentral lists this small nucleolar RNA (212 nucleotides) under Sorex araneus (European shrew). RNAcentral's name for it is "Small nucleolar RNA U3 (ENSSARG00000016252.1)". It matches the Rfam family "Small nucleolar RNA U3". Rfam says of the family: Small nucleolar RNAs (snoRNAs) are involved in the processing and modification of rRNA in the nucleolus. There are two main classes of snoRNAs: the box C/D class, and the box H/ACA class. Lineage: Eukaryota; Metazoa; Chordata; Mammalia; Eulipotyphla; Soricidae. The record is from RNAcentral.